Molecule: ribosomal RNA, 322 nt
Filed under: uncultured eukaryote
Lineage: Eukaryota
Description: partial 18S ribosomal RNA
Rfam family: Eukaryotic small subunit ribosomal RNA
Source: RNAcentral
CCCUUAGAUGUUCUGGGCCGCACGCGUGCUACACUGAGUGGAUCAGCGGGUCAGGUUGCGCGAAAGUGUUUCCUAAUCAUGAAAUCCGCUCGUGAUGGGGAUUGACGGUUGCAAUUUUCCGUCAUGAACGAGGAAUACCUUGUAAGCGCGGGUCAUCAUCCCGCGCUGAAUACGUCCCUGCCCUUUGUACACACCGCCCGUCGCUCCUACCGAUUGAGUGGUCCGGUGAGGCUUUGGGAUCUGAGCGGAAAGAGCGUUUCGCUGUUUCUGCUCGGAAAACUCAGUCGAACCUUAUCAUUUAGAGGAAGGAGAAGUCGUAACA